Molecule: ribosomal RNA, 500 nt
Filed under: uncultured bacterium
Lineage: Bacteria
Description: partial 16S ribosomal RNA
Rfam family: Bacterial small subunit ribosomal RNA
Source: RNAcentral
AUUGAACGCUGGCGGAAUGCUUUACACAUGCAAGUCGAACGGCAGCACGGACUUCGGUCUGGUGGCGAGUGGCGAACGGGUGAGUAAUGUAUCGGAACGUGCCCAGUCGUGGGGGAUAACGUAGUGAAAAUUACGCUAAUACCGCAUACGAUCUAUGGAUGAAAGCGGGGGAUCGCAAGACCUCGCGCGAUUGGAGCGGCCGAUAUCGGGUUAGGUAGUUGGUGGGGUAAAGGCCCACCAAGCCAACGAUCUGUAGGUGGUCUGAGAGGACGACCAGCCACACUGGAACUGAGACACGGUCCAGACUCCUACGGGAGGCAGCAGUGGGGAAUUUUGGACAAUGGGCGAAAGCCUGAUCCAGCCAUUCCGCGUGCAGGAUGAAGGCCCUCGGGUUGUAAACUGCUUUUGUACAGAACGAAAAGGUUUCUACUAAUACUAGGAGCUCAUGACGGUACUGUAAGAAUAAGCACCGGCUAACUACGUGCCAGCCGCCGCAGUAA